Molecule: ribosomal RNA, 368 nt
Filed under: uncultured organism
Description: bacterial SSU rRNA
Rfam family: Bacterial small subunit ribosomal RNA
Source: RNAcentral
CGGAGGGUGCAAGCGUUAUCCGGAUUUACUGGGUUUAAAGGGUGCGUAGGUGGGCGAGAAAGUCAGUGGUGAAAUCUCCGGGCUUAACCCGGAAACUGCCAUUGAUACUAUUUGCCUUGAAUACUUUGGAGGUAAGCGGAAUAUGUCAUGUAGCGGUGAAAUGCUUAGAUAUGACAUAGAACACCAAUUGCGCAGGCAGCUUACUACACAGUAAUUGACACUGAGGCACGAAAGCGUGGGGAUCAAACAGGAUUAGAUACCCUGGUAGUCCACGCCCUAAACGAUGGAUACUCGACAUUAGCGAUACACAGUUAGUGUCUGAGCGAAAGCAUUAAGUAUCCCACCUGGGAAGUACGAUCGCAAGAUUG